GGAUAAACUCGUGAUUCUCAGGUAAAAAACCUGUUUAGUUGCUGAUUUUGUUCUCCGUGAGAUAUCGAAUGACACUCCCUCCGGAGUGAACGUGCGGGCCUGCCAUUCCAAGGCUCUGACGUCUGACACCCGUUUACAGGAUAAUAGGCAGAACAGCAUAAGCAAUUUUGCCGAUAAUUGUUUAAAAGACAACUCUAAGUUAGAGGGCCAGCCAUCUAGGAGUCUGAACACGGAGUUGACAUCCCAGAAGGAUCCAUAUCUGGAUGUAGGAGGACGUGAGAAACGAACACCCUUAAGUAGACGACAGACUAAG
Pelobates cultripes (western spadefoot toad) is the source of this 313-nucleotide non-coding RNA. NCBI's taxonomy places the organism in Eukaryota, Metazoa, Chordata, Amphibia, Anura, Pelobatidae. The record is from the annotation of a GenBank genome assembly.